This is a long non-coding RNA of Solea senegalensis (Senegalese sole), 456 nucleotides long. RefSeq lists it as uncharacterized. Lineage: Eukaryota; Metazoa; Chordata; Actinopteri; Pleuronectiformes; Soleidae. The transcript is spliced from 2 exons. The record is from RefSeq and is a predicted model, not a curated record.
UUUCUGAGGAAUCCUGUGGAGUUUAUGUGCUAUUUGGACAAGACUUAAAGACCUCCAUUCAAAUUCCCAAUCAACUUCAACUGGCUCCUUUCAAUAUUAGUAACAGCGGCUCUCCUGCAUCUUCAUGACGCUUGAUGAUAUCAAAGACCACAGAGAUAAGAAGAGACUGAUGAUCUACAGUGUUCCGCUCAGAUUAGAGGGUAUAGAGAGGGUAAGUGCACACAUUGCAUCAUCUGAAGGGUCUUCAGCCGCUACUGAAGUAGUAGUCGUAGUGCUACUUCCUCACUUUCCUCACUUCCUCAUCCACGCGUUAUGUUUAAUAUUUAGUAAUCUCAUGGGUUGGUUGGUGUGUGUGUGUGGGGGGGCUUCCUUGUUAUGUUUUAAUGCUGUGACACACACUUUUAAUUGUCUUGCCUUGUAUGAAAGGUAUCAUAUAAAUAAAUAAAUAAAGUCUGA